AUACGUGCUUGGGCAUUACGGCUCCUCCUCCAGGAAUCUUGAGCUACCCUGUAAAGAAGUUUGGCUACCACUGCUGGCGAGGUUUCCUAACAAGAGAGAAGCAUUAGGCCGCCCCCAAGUGCUCUGGGCCUCCCAGUAGACACUCCAGACAUGUGAGGAAGAAGCCAUCAUGAAUGGUCCAGCCCCAGCAGACAUGGUAACACGUGAAGCAGAAAAACCCCCUGCUAAGGCCAGCGUCAUUGCAGAAUAUCGCUUAAGCCGGUGAGUCUGGGGUGCUUUGUUAUGCAAUAAUAGAGAAUUCUGUUGGUCCAGAAAUAGCCACAGAGGCCAGAUAUGUCAAUAAACAGUGAAAACUGUCCUGCUCCAGCACUUUAAACCAUGCUACUGGUUUUUCUCUUCGGCGAUUCUGGUAACCGGAAGUCUUUCGUAUCAUGAAAUUUUGCUGGGACUUGCGUCAGUGACAACUUUGAUGGCUGUUUUCUCUCACAGGACCUUUCAGAGCCUUGAGUGUCACUCCUGGAAGAGACUGGGGAGACGGUGCACCCAGAGAGGAACAAAAUGGGGAGACGUGGUCUGAAUCAAAAACCAGAUUAAAAUGCAGUGUUAUCUGGGGGUGCUUUUCCCCCUGAGGGAAAACCCCUUUCGUCAUCUGAGGCCAUUGGCAGGUCCCCCCGUGGAGUUGGGUUGACCAAGCAGAACUGGUGGUACCGGAGCCAUCUGGUAAGGUGUUCACGCCUGAGUCUGGCCCAACUGCCAGACCUGCUGGGACAUUAAUUAGGGACCCGAGCAAAUAUCAUCCUGCUCUUACUUCCUGUCUCCCAGGCAGAAGCUACAAGUUUCAGGAAUUCCUGGGCCCUGCACCACUGGAUCAAGCUCCUUAUGGCAGAGGGAAGAGUGAAGGUUAUCAUGUUGUCUUUGAACAGGCCAGAGUCUGGGUGAAGGAAGGAAGAGGAACAAAUGAGAAGCUCAGCUUCCUUGCAGGGGGCAGAUUCGACGUCAGGUACAGUGCCUUACAGAGAUUUUUGGUGGAUGAAAAAAAAAAUACUGCAGAUUUUUAAAUACAGAGAUGGUGUCAAAGCUCCAGGAAAUUGCAUUCAGAAAGGAAUCCUGUAUGUUGACUUCUUGUGAAAACUAAUGAAAGGAAACCAGUUUAGUUCAGGUUAUGGUUGAGU
Molecule: long non-coding RNA, 1172 nt
Organism: Acinonyx jubatus (cheetah)
Lineage: Eukaryota; Metazoa; Chordata; Mammalia; Carnivora; Felidae
Exons: 3
Source: RefSeq, a predicted model, not a curated record